UCUGGAGCCACCCCUUCUGUCUCUGCAAUACUUCCUGCGCAGUCUGAGUCUGCGCGGGUCCCUCUCUUUGCCCCCGCCCUUCUCUCCGGCGGCGCGAUGGUACAAAUGGGGGAGCGACACAUUCCUCAGCUCGUCUCUCUCUGCACGCUGUUACCAGGAGGGGAGACCAGCUCUCCUACUGGCAGACCCCGUAUGCUAAUGGACUCUUGGAAAUGUAAUGAAUAUGUAUACGAAUUCUGGGUAAAUCAUUGAUUAUGUAUUAGUUCUGCCUAUAUCUGUACCAAGCUUUUGUCCUACAGUGUGCAAGUCAGGAGGAGUGAUCCCCCUUGCACCCAGCACUCGCGCAUCGCUGAAUAAAUGCAUACCUGCUUUAUAACCUAACUCUGGGUUAUAGAGUUUGAUUCCACAAGUCAGAGGUGUCGACUCAAGACCAAAAUACAGCCUGUAUCUUACCAUGGAGGGCAGAACUACCCCUCCUUGUACCUAUUAAACAUCUGUUUUACUCCCCUUGAGGUUAUAAGUUCACAGGACAGCUGGCAGGAGCAACAUCACUCCAGGUUGCUUCAGUGUCCAUGAGGAAACAUCAUGACACCCUGUUGUGCACAGCUGAACUUUUGGGAACUGGCGAGUGUGUAUCAGAACUGCUACUGGUCCUUGAAGAAGAUAUGCCUCAAGAAAGAACAUCAAGUGCUGGCCCAACAGAACCGCAGAAAAGACUGCCAAUAAUUGCCUUUAUUGUCUUAACAUUCUACACUGCGGUGGGUAUUGUACAUGUGUCACAAUGUACAUGGAAAUUGGAAAAUACAAGCCACGAAACUGCAGGAGCUCACCCCCUACCUGCUCAGUCAUUGGUUCAUACUGUGAAGGGGUGGAGUGUAGUGGAAUUUCAAGGUCACAGCCUGAACCAAUACAUGAGCAUGUGACUGCCUGGAGUGGGGGAGGACGGGCUAGCGCUACAUUUUUUGUCUCAGUGAUGCUUCUGGGAGCAUGUGUGCAAUCUGAGCCUGCGUGGGUUCCCCUUCCCCCACCCUUCUCUCUUGUGGCUCGAGUAUGAAUGGGAGAAAGCUGCAUUCCUCAGCUUGCCCCUUUCUCCAGACUGUUACUGGGAGGGGCGUCAUGGUUUUAUGAUUCUUGUUUAUUGGUAUUCCACAUCAUAACAUCAUGUAGUGCACUGGGAGUUAAAGAGUUAAUGCUCCAGUUCUGGGCACCUGUCUGCUAGAGAAGAGCUACAUUGCUGAAGAGCAGAUUGCUGUGGAGACCAGCUUCAGGGCAGGUAAGACUGCACUGGGUAAGGGACCUAAAGCAAAAAGGCCAACCAAAAAGCUCUUUUUAGGGCUUUUUUGAAGCCAGCAAAAGCACUGUGCUGGUGCCAGGGGGCUGGCAGCUUGUGGGCAGGCUGUUGAGCCAGCAGGGGUCGAGCUGGCACUGCCCACUCUUGAGCUUGACCCUUUGCUGUGAGGCUAAAAGCAGCCCACAUAAUGUGCCAGGUGAGAAAAGGGUGUUACUAUCUACUGACAACAGGGAGGGAAGUCAGAGUGUGAGCACAGCCUACACUGCCCAUACAAUACUGCAGCAGCAGGUGUGGGUGGUGGGUCUUGAGGCAGGACACGUGAGUGCUUUUGUCUUUGCUCAGGAGACCAGCUCUCCUACUGGCAGACCCUGAGACCCCCAGGUUCAAACAUGGUCUCUACCAGACAGUGGACUUGCCCCAAGAAGACUGCCGACCCAGACAGAGGGCCUGCCCAGAAAUGUGGCUGUGCAGGUCUCUGCCUACAGGGAGUGUCUGAGCCUGCUGCUGCCAGGGGAGGAUAAGAAGGAUGCCACCUGUGUGAGGUGCAAGCAGGUAGAUGAGCUGCUCAGCCUGGUGGUAGAGCUCAGGGAGGAGGUGGAGAGAUUAAGAACUAUCAGAGAGUGCGAGCGGGAGAUUGACUGGUGGAGUGACUCUCUGAGAGAAAGAUGCAGAGAUUGCACUCCCCCAAACCAUAGUGGACCCUCUCCCUUGCUGCAGUCAAGCACAGAGAGCCGACUCGAGAGGAGGAAUGGCAGCAGGUACCAGCUCGGAGACGCAGGUGACCCCCACCCCAACCUACCUCGGUUCCCCAGGUGUCUCUACAUAAUAGGUUUGAUGCCCUGAAACUGGAGGGAGAGGUGAGUGAGGAUAAGGGGGGAAGACUGCCUCCAAGUGUGACUAAGGUGAGGAGGUCAGCUCCAUGCUCAAAGACUGCCUCCUCCAAAAAAGAAAGGAGGGUGAUAGUUGUAGGUGACUCCCUCCUGAGAGGAACAGAGGGUCCAAUAUGUUGGCCUGACCCUACCUGUAGGAAGGUGUGCUGCCUCCCUGGGGCCCGGGUCAGGGAUAUUUCUAGAAAACUUCCUGGUCUGAUCCACCCCUCUGAUUACUAUCCAUUAUUGGUAGUUCAGGCUGGCAGUGAUGAAGUUGCUGACAGAAGCCUGAGGGCUAUAAAAAAUGAUUUUAGGGGACUGGGGAGGUUAGUUGACAAUGCAGGCAUACAAGUAGUAUUUGCAGGUAUUCCUACAGUGGCAGGGAAAGACAAUGCAAUGACCAGGAAAACCCAUCGCAUAAACACAUGGCUGAGAGGUUGGUGCAAACUCAAGAAUCUUGGGUUCCUUGAUCAUGGGGUGGUCUACUCGGCACCUGGCCUGAGGUCUGCAGAUGGGUAUCACCUGUCUCAAAGGGGGAAACAGAUCCUUGCCCAGGAGCUGGCAGGACUUGUAGAGAGGUCUUUAAACUAGACAUGAGGGGGGAAGGGGAUAAAACCAGGCCUGCUAGAUAUGAGCCUGGGGGAGGGGUCUGGAGCACAGGCCUUAUGAGGAGUGGCUGGAGGAGCUGAGAUUGUUCAGUGUAGAGAAGAGGAGGCUCAGGGGAGACCUUUUUGCUCUCUCUGAAGGGAGGUUGUAGUGAGCUGGGGGUCAGCCUCUUCUCUCGUGUGACUAGUGAUAGGACUAGAGGGAAUGGCUUCAAGCUGCACCACAGAAGGUUCAGGCUGGACGUUAGGAUAUACUACUUCUCUGAAAGAGUGGUCAGGCACUGGAAUGGGCUGCCCUGGGAGGUGGUGGAGUCACCAACCCUGGAGGUGUUCAAGGAACGUUUGGACACUGUGUUGGGGGACAUGGUUUAAUGAGAACUAUUGGUGAUGGGUGGAUGGUUGGACUGGGUGAUACUGUGAGUCUUUUCCAACCUUGGUAAUUCUAUGAUUCUAAGUUAAGCCUUUGGCAAUGCAUGCUUUUCGAGCUAUAUCAGAGGCUGGAAAACAAAGGCAGUCUUUUGUUAGCAUUAAACAACAGCCCCAAGAACCGUAUAUGACAUUUCUGGAUAGGCUUAAGAACUCAUUGGAAAAACAGGUCUGAGAUGUGUACCAGCAUGAUGGGUCUAGCCCUCCGUCUCAUCACCUGCUGUAACAUGAUCACCAAGCUUUCAUCUGCAGUUUGGAUUCUUGACAAAAGACAGGACAAGACACACUUUGCUUGUCAACUCUGUCACCAGCGAACCAUAAGAAUUGGAAUUGUUUGGAUUGGUUAAAAUGGACUAUUGUUUGUACUUAACUAUAGUGGAAAGAACCAAUCGUUCGUUCAGUAUGUUAACUUUAGUAUAGCUGCUUAUAGGAAUGUUUCUGAACCGUGCCUUUUUUUACGGCAGCAGCUACUUGCGCCAGAUAUAAACACACAUGAGG
This 3689-nucleotide long non-coding RNA is filed under the name Gallus gallus (chicken). Its description in RNAcentral is "lncRNA (ENSGALG00010004592.1)". The record is from RNAcentral. Lineage: Eukaryota; Metazoa; Chordata; Aves; Galliformes; Phasianidae.